This 76-nucleotide transfer RNA is filed under the name Rhodobacterales bacterium. RNAcentral's name for it is "tRNA-Gln". It matches the Rfam family "tRNA". From Rfam's summary of the family: Transfer RNA (tRNA) molecules are approximately 80 nucleotides in length. RNAcentral also lists the same sequence under 1 other name. Lineage: Bacteria; Pseudomonadati; Pseudomonadota; Alphaproteobacteria; Rhodobacterales. The record is from RNAcentral.
UGGAGGGUAGCUCAGUUGGCAGAGCAGCGGGUUUUGGUCCCGUAGGUCGAGGGUUCGAACCCUUCCCCUCCAGCCA